GCAAAUGUUAACACGUUUGGCUGCUAACCGAAAGGUGGUGGUUUAAGUCCACCCAGAUGCA
Molecule: transfer RNA, 61 nt
Filed under: Loxodonta africana (African savanna elephant)
Lineage: Eukaryota; Metazoa; Chordata; Mammalia; Proboscidea; Elephantidae
Rfam family: tRNA
About the family: Transfer RNA (tRNA) molecules are approximately 80 nucleotides in length. Their secondary structure includes four short double-helical elements and three loops (D, anti-codon, and T loops). Further hydrogen bonds mediate the characteristic L-shaped molecular structure. tRNAs have two regions of fundamental functional importance: the anti-codon, which is responsible for specific mRNA codon recognition, and the 3' end, to which the tRNAs corresponding amino acid is attached (by aminoacyl-tRNA synthetases). tRNAs cope with the degeneracy of the genetic code in two manners: having more than one tRNA (with a specific anti-codon) for a particular amino acid; and 'wobble' base-pairing, i.e. permitting non-standard base-pairing at the 3rd anti-codon position.
Source: Rfam by way of RNAcentral